UACAGAGGGUGCGAGCGCUGUCCGGAAUCACUGGGCGUAAAGGGCGCGUAGGUGGCGACCCAAGUCAAUGGUGAAAGCUCGCCGCUCAACGGCGAGUCGGCCACCGAUACUGGGUUGCUCGAGCACUGUAGAGGCUAAUGGAAUUCCGGGUGUAGCGGUGGAAUGCGUAGAGAUCCGGAAGAACACCGGUGGCGAAGGCGGUUAGCUGGGCAGUUGCUGACACUGAGGCGCGACAGCGUGGGGAGCAAACAGG
Molecule: ribosomal RNA, 253 nt
Filed under: uncultured bacterium
Lineage: Bacteria
Description: partial 16S ribosomal RNA
Rfam family: Bacterial small subunit ribosomal RNA
Source: RNAcentral